Molecule: RNA transcript, 2183 nt
Organism: Neopelma chrysocephalum (saffron-crested tyrant-manakin)
Lineage: Eukaryota; Metazoa; Chordata; Aves; Passeriformes; Pipridae
Gene: TPM3
Gene name: tropomyosin 3
Exons: 11
Source: RefSeq, a predicted model, not a curated record
CAGUUCCGCAUUCAGCUACCCGUUGCUGCCUGUGUCCCAGCGAGGAUGGAGGCCAUCAAGAAGAAGAUGCAGAUGCUGAAGCUGGACAAGGAGAAUGCCCUGGACCGGGCGGAGCAGGCAGAGGCUGAGCAGAAGCAGGCAGAGGAGCGGAGCAAGCAGCUGGAGGACGAGCUUGCUGCCAUGCAGAAGAAGCUAAAGGGGACAGAGGAUGAACUGGACAAAUACUCUGAGGCCCUGAAAGAUGCCCAGGAGAAGCUGGAGCUGGCAGAGAAGAAGGCAGCGGACGCUGAGGCAGAAGUGGCAUCUUUGAAUCGCCGUAUCCAGCUGGUAGAGGAGGAGUUGGACCGAGCUCAGGAGCGCCUUGCCACGGCUCUGCAGAAGCUUGAAGAGGCAGAGAAGGCAGCAGAUGAGAGCGAAAGAGGUAUGAAAGUCAUUGAAAACAGAGCUCUUAAAGAUGAGGAGAAGAUGGAACUGCAGGAGAUCCAGCUCAAAGAAGCCAAGCACAUCGCAGAGGAGGCAGACAGGAAGUAUGAGGAGGUUGCUCGGAAACUGGUGAUCAUAGAGGGAGAUCUGGAGCGUACUGAAGAGAGAGCUGAGCUCGCAGAGUCUAAAUGUUCCGAGCUGGAGGAGGAGCUGAAGAAUGUCACCAACAAUCUCAAGUCUCUUGAGGCUCAGGCUGAGAAGUACUCUCAAAAAGAGGAUAAAUAUGAAGAAGAGAUAAAGAUCCUGACUGAUAAACUCAAAGAGGCGGAGACCCGUGCUGAAUUUGCUGAACGCUCUGUAGCCAAGCUGGAGAAGACCAUUGAUGAUUUGGAAGAUGAGCUCUAUGCCCAGAAACUGAAGUACAAAGCAAUUAGUGAGGAACUGGACCACGCCCUGAAUGACAUGACUUCCAUCCUGUCUAUCCAGUGUCCCAGCGUGUGGACGUCUCCAGUGAUAUGGGUGGGCUCACCUUUGGAGUAAAGCCUACCUAGAGCACUAGCUGCUGAUCUGCUCUCCUCCUGGCUUAAGGAACAUAUAAACUGAAAUCCACCAAAGAGGAGCAUCUCUGCACGCAAAGAAUGCUGGACCAGACCCUGCUAGACCUGAACGAGAUGUAAUAGAUCCCUGCCACCGCCUCCGCCAUGCGAUGCCAGGCGCCGGCCCAGCUGCUGCUGCCCUCUAACCCUGGGCACCAGAGUUUACCUUCUGUUGCCAACUUGACCAAACACAAAUCUCCUUUGCCCCAGGGUUAAAGGCCACCAGGUUGGGCAGAGCUUCAAACAGCAUCAUUAAGGGAAAUAAACAAUGCAAUAAUGUUUGGGGAGCAUGUUUGAGAUGUACACAUUUUGUAACUACCUUUUUUUGUAGCAACCAUUGUAAACAUUCCAAAUAUCGUGUGAGGCUGGUGAGCUACACUUCAAAGCUCUUGGCUUUAAAAUUUGGUAUUAACCUUCUGUUAAUUGGCUCUGGGCCACCCUGCUUUGGCAGGGCAGGAAAAGGGUGUGAUGGUGCUCGCUGUGAGUCAGAGUAGCCAGGCUAGGGAUGGAAGCCUGUUGGGAAAACUUCCUUUCCAAGAGCUGUUUGCCAAAAGUGCAGUUCAGUUUCUCAGCUUUAAGGUAACUGUGUUGGGGAGGAGCAACUUGUGUGAAAGGUACUUUUUUUUUUCUUUUUUUUUUUAAGCCAAGCCAGUCAUCUGAACAAUUGAACCUUCACAAGGAUUGUGUCCCUUUCCCCCCACCGUUGGCCACUUCCUUUCCUGGUGGGCUUAGAGCAGCCAUGGCCCCUCUAACCCAUUGCUACCCUGGGGCUGACUUUGCCUUCACUAAGUGCUGGUGCACCAAGCUUCACCGCUCAUUGCUGGGUUACACUUAACAGCUUAAGUACAACAGCCUUGUAUUCUUGGAGAAGUGUUUUUGCCUACCUGGAGGGAGGGAACUGAGCCUUCCCUCCUGGCCAGGACUGCUCUUACUGUCUUAAUUGGGUACAAGCCAUCUCGCUGUGCAUUGCUGGUGUUCCGUGGUUGUGAGGCGUGAGCGCGGUAUCGCCGCGCUCGCAUCGUGUAGCUUGUGGUUUGAGCAUGCUGCUUGGUUGUAGCAGUUUUAGGGGCCAAUCUGGAGACAAAAACCCUAUCCAGUGUUUUGAUACUAAAUUGAAAAAUUGUGUUACUGUCUUUUGAAAUAAAAACCGAUCCUUCCACACCA